UACGUAGGGUGCAAGCGUUAAUCGGAAUUACUGGGCGUAAAGCGUGCGCAGGCGGUGAUGUAAGGCAGUUGUGAAAUCCCCGGGCUCAACCUGGGAACUGCAUCUGUGACUGCAUUGCUGGAGUGCGGCAGAGGGGGAUGGAAUUCCAGGUGUAGCAGUGAAAUGCGUAGAUAUCUGGAGGAACACCGGUGGCGAAGGCGGCAUCCUGGACCGACACUGACACUGAGGAGCGAAAGCCAGGGGAGCAAACGGG
Molecule: ribosomal RNA, 253 nt
Filed under: uncultured bacterium
Lineage: Bacteria
Description: partial 16S ribosomal RNA
Rfam family: Bacterial small subunit ribosomal RNA
Source: RNAcentral